AUUGAACGCUGGCGGCAUGCUUUACACAUGCAAGUCGAACGGUAACAGGCCUUCGGGUGCUGACGAGUGGCGAACGGGUGAGUAAUGCAUCGGAACGUGCCCAGAGGUGGGGGAUAACGCAGCGAAAGCUGUGCUAAUACCGCAUAUUAUCUGAGGAUGAAAGCGGGGGACUAAGCAGCAAUGUUUGGCCUCGCGCCUUUGGAGCGGCCGAUGUCAGAUUAGGUAGUUGGUGGGGUAAAGGCCUACCAAGCCUACGAUCUGUAGCUGGUCUGAGAGGAUGAUCAGCCACACUGGGACUGAGACACGGCCCAGACUCCUACGGGAGGCAGCAGUGGGGAAUCUUGGACAAUGGGCGAAAGCCUGAUCCAGCAAUGCCGCGUGAGUGAUGAAGGCCUUAGGGUUGUUAAAGGCUCUUUUACCAGGGAUGAUAAUGACAGUACCUGGAGAAUAAGCUCCGGCUAACUCCGUGCCA
This 472-nucleotide ribosomal RNA is filed under the name uncultured bacterium. RNAcentral describes it as "bacterial SSU rRNA". It matches the Rfam family "Bacterial small subunit ribosomal RNA", at positions 30 to 510 of the family's 1533-position model. The record is from RNAcentral.